GAAGAAGAAGAAGAAGAAAAAAUAACUGAUAGAGCAUAUAAAUAGGAAAUUCUCAAAGAAAGAAUUCCAAAAUGUCAACAGACACGGGAAACUCUCUUCGCACAGUAGUGCAGCCGGCGUGUUCCGCUGGCGUCUUCCCCGCCCGGCACACGGCUCCGGUGUCCCCAUGCCCUCGGGGACGGAGCCAGGGCACGCUGCGCCUUUCUCCAGAUGUCCUCUUCGUGAGCCGCAGCCCCUGGGGGCAGACACGGUGCAAGCGUCCGGCAGAGAGAGGAAGGAGGGCCAGGACAGGACAACAGUCAGAACUGAGCUGCCCCAAGCCUGUCCAACACCCCAGUGGCUCACCUCUCCCUGGCCCUGGCAUGCAUUCGGCACAGCAAGAGGAGACAGCAACAGGGCUUCCGGAUCCUUCAGUCACG
Non-coding RNA from Microcebus murinus (gray mouse lemur), 419 nucleotides. Lineage: Eukaryota; Metazoa; Chordata; Mammalia; Primates; Cheirogaleidae. The record is from RefSeq and is a predicted model, not a curated record.